AGGACGAACGCUGGCGGCGUGCUUAACACAUGCAAGUCGAGCGAGGCCUUCCCUUCGGGGGAGUGCCCUAGCGGCGAACGGGUGAGUAACACGUGGGCAACCUGCCCCUAGCACUGGGAUAACUCCGGGAAACCGGGGCUAAUACCGGAUAUGACCUUUGAGGGCAUCCUCUUUGGUGUAAAGGAUUCUGGCUAGGGAUGGGCCCGCGGCCUAUCAGCUUGUUGGUGGGGUAAUGGCCUACCAAGGCGACGACGGGUAGCCGGCCUGAGAGGGCGACCGGCCACACUGGGACUGAGACACGGCCCAGACUCCUACGGGAGGCAGCAGUGGGAAUAUUGCACAAUGGGCGAAAGCCUGAUGCAGCGACGCCGCGUGAGGGAUGACGGCCUUCGGUUGUAAACCUCUUUCAGCUCCGACGAAGCGAAAGUGACGGUAGGAGCAGAAGAAGCACCGGCCAACGUACGUGCCAGCAGCCGC
This 477-nucleotide ribosomal RNA is filed under the name uncultured bacterium. RNAcentral's name for it is "SSU rRNA". It matches the Rfam family "Bacterial small subunit ribosomal RNA", at positions 26 to 518 of the family's 1533-position model. The record is from RNAcentral.